RNAcentral lists this ribosomal RNA (468 nucleotides) under uncultured bacterium. Its description in RNAcentral is "partial 16S ribosomal RNA". It matches the Rfam family "Bacterial small subunit ribosomal RNA", at positions 28 to 507 of the family's 1533-position model. The record is from RNAcentral.
GACGAACGCUGGCGGCGUGCUUAACACAUGCAAGUCGAACGGAAAGGCCCUGCUUUUGUGGGGUGCUCGAGUGGCGAACGGGUGAGUAACACGUGAGUAACCUGCCCUUGACUUUGGGAUAACUUCAGGAAACUGGGGCUAAUACCGGAUAGGAGCUCCUGCUGCAUGGUGGGGGUUGGAAAGUUUCGGCGGUUGGGGAUGGACUCGCGGCUUAUCAGCUUGUUGGUGGGGUAGUGGCUUACCAAGGCUUUGACGGGUAGCCGGCCUGAGAGGGUGACCGGCCACAGGGGGACUGAGAUACGGCCCAGACUGAGACGGGAGGCAGCAGGGGGGAAUAGGGCACAAUGGGCGGGAGCCUGAUGCAGGAACGCCGCGUGCGGGAUGACGGCCUUCGGGUUGUAAACCGCGUGCGCCUGUGACGAAGCGUGAGUGACGGUAAUGGGUAAAGAAGCACCGGCUAACUACGUG